UUCAUGGAGAGUUUGAUCCUGGCUCAGGACGAACGCUGGCGGCGUGCCUAAUACAUGCAAGUCGAGCGGACAGAUGGGAGCUUGCUCCCUGAUGUUAGCGGCGGACGGGUGAGUAACACGUGGGUAACCUGC
RNAcentral lists this ribosomal RNA (132 nucleotides) under Bacillus subtilis. RNAcentral's name for it is "partial 16S ribosomal RNA". It matches the Rfam family "Bacterial small subunit ribosomal RNA", at positions 1 to 129 of the family's 1533-position model. The record is from RNAcentral. Lineage: Bacteria; Bacillati; Bacillota; Bacilli; Caryophanales; Bacillaceae. RNAcentral also lists the same sequence under 4 other names.